GAUCUCUCUUAUUAAUGAACAAUAGAGGUUCCUUUUAUAAGGAUUACAAAGUAUAAGUAAAAAGGAAAUUAUCCAAAACCUAAUCUAAUAGGAAAUAGGAAAACAACUAAAACAUAGAAAAGGAAACUUGAAGUCUUGGCCGACUAGGAUCUUGGCCGCCGACUCUCUCUCCUCCAUUGGCUACGGCUGGGCCUUGUCCUGGUCUUGGUUAUGGGUCAUCCACUUAAUGAUUUAUAACAACUAUAUAUUUAUAAUAAUUUCGUCAAAUUGUAAGUUUCUAUGCACAUUUUUUUUCUGUCAAACAGUUUCUAUGCACAUUUUGAAUUCCAGAUUAUGUCAACAAUUUUUGCUUUUUAAUGUUUAUACAAAACAAUGGAUAUUAUAUUUUAUCCAAGUGAGCCUCAAAACAUAAGGUCUUCCACAUUUAUAAAAUUUAUUACUAUCAGCAGUAUUUAACAAAUCAUAUGUAUCUCAUAUUAAAAAUAACAAUAUUCAAAUUUUAUAGAAAAAUAGACAAAAAUAUAUCCAUGCUUGCAGA
Molecule: long non-coding RNA, 538 nt
Filed under: Brassica napus (rape)
Lineage: Eukaryota; Viridiplantae; Streptophyta; Magnoliopsida; Brassicales; Brassicaceae
Description: long non-coding RNA (BNAP_LNC023200)
Source: RNAcentral